RNAcentral lists this ribosomal RNA (468 nucleotides) under uncultured bacterium. RNAcentral describes it as "partial 16S ribosomal RNA". It matches the Rfam family "Bacterial small subunit ribosomal RNA", at positions 28 to 507 of the family's 1533-position model. The record is from RNAcentral.
GACGAACGCUGGCGGCGUGCUUAACACAUGCAAGUCGAACGGAAAGGCCCUGCAUUUGUGGGGUGCUCGAGUGGCGAACGGGUGAGUAACACGUGAGUAACCUGCCCUUGACUUUGGGAUAACUUCAGGAAACUGGGGCUAAUACCGGAUAGGAGCUCCUGCUGCAUGGUGGGGGUUGGAAAGUUUCGGCGGUUGGGGAUGGACUCGCGGCUUAUCAGCUUGUUGGUGGGGUAGUGGCUUACCCAGGCUUUGACGGAUAGCCGGCCUGAGAGGGUGACCGGCCACAUGGGGACUGAGAUACGGCCCAGACUCCUACGGGGGGCAGCAGUGGGGAAUAUUGCACAAUGGGCGGAAGCCUGAUGCAGCAACGCCGCGUGCGGGAUGACGGCCUUCGGGUUGUAAACCGCUUUCGCCUGUGACGAAGCGUGAGUGACGGUAAUGGGUAAAGAAGCACCGGCUAACUACGUG